GGUUAAGUUAGAAAGGGCGCACGGUGGAUGCCUUGGCACUAGGAGCCGAUGAAGGACGGGACGAACACCGAUAUGCUUCGGGGAGCUGUAAGCAAGCUUUGAUCCGGAGAUUUCCGAAUGGGGAAACCCACCACUCGUAAUGGAGUGGUAUCCAUAUCUGAAUUCAUAGGAUAUGAGAAGGCAGACCCGGGGAACUGAAACAUCUAAGUACCCGGAGGAAGAGAAAGCAAAUGCGAUUCCCUGAGUAGCGGCGAGCGAAACGGGAUUAGCCCAAACCAAGAGGCUUGCCUCUUGGGGUUGUAGGACACUCUGUACGGAGUUACAAAAGAACGAGGUAGAUGAAGAGGUCUGGAAAGGCCCGCCAUAGGAGGUAACAGCCCUGUAGUCAAAACUUCGUUCUCUCCUGAGUGGAUCCUGAGUACGGCGGAACACGUGAAAUUCCGUCGGAAUCCGGGAGGACCAUCUCCCAAGGCUAAAUACUCCCUAGUGACCGAUAGUGAACCAGUACCGUGAGGGAAAGGUGAAAAGCACCCCGGAAGGGGAGUGAAAGAGAUCCUGAAACCGUGUGCCUACAAGUAGUCAGAGCCCGUUAACGGGUGAUGGCGUGCCUUUUGUAGAAUGAACCGGCGAGUUACGAUCCCGUGCAAGGUUAAGCAGAAGAUGCGGAGCCGCAGCGAAAGCGAGUCUGAAUAGGGCGCAUGAGUACGUGGUCGUAGACCCGAAACCAGGUGAUCUACCCAUGUCCAGGGUGAAGUUCAGGUAACACUGAAUGGAGGCCCGAACCCACGCACGUUGAAAAGUGCGGGGAUGAGGUGUGGGUAGGGGUGAAAUGCCAAUCGAACCUGGAGAUAGCUGGUUCUCUCCGAAAUAGCUUUAGGGCUAGCCUCAAGGUAAGAGUCUUGGAGGUAGAGCACUGAUUGGACUAGGGGCCCCUACCGGGUUACCGAAUUCAGUCAAACUCCGAAUGCCAAUGACUUAUCCUUGGGAGUCAGACUGCGAGUGAUAAGAUCCGUAGUCGAAAGGGAAACAGCCCAGACCGCCAGCUAAGGUCCCAAAGUAUACGUUAAGUGGAAAAGGAUGUGGAGUUGCUUAGACAACCAGGAUGUUGGCUUAGAAGCAGCCACCAUUUAAAGAGUGCGUAAUAGCUCACUGGUCGAGUGACUCUGCGCCGAAAAUGUACCGGGGCUAAACGUAUCACCGAAGCUGCGGACUGUUCUUCGAACAGUGGUAGGAGAGCGUUCUAAGGGCUGUGAAGCCAGACCGGAAGGACUGGUGGAGCGCUUAGAAGUGAGAAUGCCGGUAUGAGUAGCGAAAGAGGGGUGAGAAUCCCCUCCACCGAAUGCCUAAGGUUUCCUGAGGAAGGCUCGUCCGCUCAGGGUUAGUCGGGACCUAAGCCGAGGCCGAAAGGCGUAGGCGAUGGACAACAGGUUGAUAUUCCUGUACCACCUCCUCACCAUUUGAGNNNNNNNNNNNNNNAAGGCUGAGCUGUGAUGGCGAGCGAAAUAUAGUAGCGAAGUUCCUGAUUCCACACUGCCAAGAAAAGCCUCUAGCGAGGUGAGAGGUGCCCGUACCGCAAACCGACACAGGUAGGCGAGGAGAGAAUCCUAAGGUGAUCGAGAGAACUCUCGUUAAGGAACUCGGCAAAAUGACCCCGUAACUUCGGGAGAAGGGGUGCUCUGUUAGGGUGCAAGCCCGAGAGAGCCGCAGUGAAUAGGCCCAGGCGACUGUUUAGCAAAAACACAGGUCUCUGCGAAGCCGUAAGGCGAAGUAUAGGGGCUGACGCCUGCCCGGUGCUGGAAGGUUAAGAGGAGCGCUUAGCGUAAGCGAAGGUGCGAAUUGAAGCCCCAGUAAACGGCGGCCGUAACUAUAACGGUCCUAAGGUAGCGAAAUUCCUUGUCGGGUAAGUUCCGACCCGCACGAAAGGCGCAACGAUCUGGGCACUGUCUCAACGAGAGACUCGGUGAAAUUAUAGUACCUGUGAAGAUGCAGGUUACCCGCGACAGGACGGAAAGACCCCGUGGAGCUUUACUGCAGCCUGAUAUUGAAUGUUGGUACAGCUUGUACAGGAUAGGUAGGAGCCUUGGAAACCGGAGCGCCAGCUUCGGUGGAGGCAUCGGUGGGAUACUACCCUGGCUGUAUUGACCUUCUAACCCGCCGCCCUUAUCGGGCGGGGAGACAGUGUCAGGUGGGCAGUUUGACUGGGGCGGUCGCCUCCUAAAAGGUAACGGAGGCGCCCAAAGGUUCCCUCAGAAUGGUUGGAAAUCAUUCGCAGAGUGUAAAGGCACAAGGGAGCUUGACUGCGAGACCUACAAGUCGAGCAGGGACGAAAGUCGGGCUUAGUGAUCCGGUGGUUCCGCAUGGAAGGGCCAUCGCUCAACGGAUAAAAGCUACCCCGGGGAUAACAGGCUUAUCUCCCCCAAGAGUCCACAUCGACGGGGAGGUUUGGCACCUCGAUGUCGGCUCAUCGCAUCCUGGGGCUGUAGUCGGUCCCAAGGGUUGGGCUGUUCGCCCAUUAAAGCGGUACGCGAGCUGGGUUCAGAACGUCGUGAGACAGUUCGGUCCCUAUCCGUCGCGGGCGCAGGAAAUUUGAGAGGAGCUGUCCUUAGUACGAGAGGACCGGGAUGGACGCACCGCUGGUGUACCAGUUGUUCUGCCAAGGGCAUCGCUGGGUAGCUAUGUGCGGACGGGAUAAGUGCUGAAAGCAUCUAAGCAUGAAGCCCCCCUCAAGAUGAGAUUUCCCAUUCCGCAAGGAAGUAAGAUCCCUGAAAGAUGAUCAGGUUGAUAGGUCUGAGGUGGAAGUGUGGCGACACAUGGAGCUGACAGAUACUAAUCGAUCGAGGACUUAACCAC
Molecule: ribosomal RNA, 2850 nt
Filed under: Bacillus inaquosorum
Lineage: Bacteria; Bacillati; Bacillota; Bacilli; Caryophanales; Bacillaceae
Description: 23S ribosomal RNA
Rfam family: Bacterial large subunit ribosomal RNA
Source: RNAcentral